ACAUCCAGAUCAAACAACAUUGGUCCAGAGAAAAUGAGCUAGGAAAGGCUGCCUCAUUGGGAUUUCUGAAAUUAUGCAAGAAUCAUUAAAAUGUAGAACAUGACUAUGAGUAACCAGCAUGAAAAUACCAAGUGCAUUUCUUCUAUUCACAGAAUGACUACCCAGUAACUUAUGUGGUAUAAUUUAUUGAGGGCUUUCCUUGACAAAUGAAAGGAAACCGUAUUUGCGAAGGAAACUGCAAAUACGGUUUCAUUUUCAAACUUGUGCUGCCAAUUUCUAUGAAUAAUUUUGUGUCCAGGAUUUAAUGAAUCUUUCAGGAAUUUUUAUAAACUGCUACAAGUCAAAGUCAAGAGACAGUGUUUGCAAGAAGCAGUGUUUCAAAGGUUUAAAUGCUAUACCUGGUUCUGGCCAGAAACUCUGAAGUUCUCUUCUUCUUUUCAGAUAUUGGAAUAUUCUUCAUGUAAUGCAGUAUCACUUCUGUAUGAAGCCACGUGUAACUUGUCCCCCUCCUUUCCAUCAUGAGAACUACUGAAGAUGUAAACCAAAUCCAGCAGGGAAACCAGUGACAUUUGUGAAUAGUAGACGGGAUAAAAGGAGCUGGACACACUCUUUCUUCAACAUCUGCCAUGAUAUGAUUUCACAAGCAAGAAAUGUGCCAAGGCUUCUACCCAAGAAUAUAACGUACAUGGACACGUCAUGGGGGCUCCCCUGCCCUCAAGCUCCCAUGGGGGUUCAGCCAAUGAAGACAAGAAGAAAGAGAGAUUGAGGUAUUUAUUCCCCCAGCUCCCUCCUGGCUGGGCUGUAGUUUGGCAGUGGCCCAGCUCCUAUUGGACACCUGCUCUCAGAGCUGUGGGUCUCAGUGGGUUUCAGAAACAGCCCCUUUCCCUUGGCCCUUCAGAUCCAAGGGUGGCAACAGCUUCCUACUGGUGCUGGUCUCUGGGUGCUUCACCAGCUAUUGUAAAGAGUCCCCUCCUUAGCUACCCCUUUGAGAAUGUCACCUGCCUGCUGCCAGGACACUGACAACCCGCAGGCCCUGCACCCCUCAGGCUUUAUUAUCUACCUGUUGCUCAUAGUUGUCUAGCACAGGGGUAGACACACUAUGGCCUGCAGGCCGUAUCUGACCUGCCACCUGUCUUUGUACAACCCUUGAACUACGAGUGAUUUUUAGUGAUUUUUUUCCAUUUUUAAAUGGUUGAAAAAAAAUCAAAAGAAUAUUUUAUGACAUAUGAAAAUUAUAUGAAAUGCAAAUCUCAGUGUCCAAAAAUAAAGAUUUAUGGGAACACAGCCACUCCUAUUUGUUUCCAAAUUGUCUAUAGCUGCUUUCACACUACAAUGGCAGAUUGUACAAUGGGAGAUUAUAAGGCCCACAAGGCCUAAAGGAUUUACUAUCUGGUCCUUUACAGAGAAAGUUUGCCAGCCCCCGUUCUAGAACAUGCUAUGCGACACUACAAUGGAAAGAGAAGGGGAUCUAGGCAUCACAGAAAAUCUUCCUGGUCCCUUCCCUCGCCGAGGCAUAAUGUUUAGAGACUGCUGUUUAAUUUCUCAAGUUACAUGGAAGGGUGGGAGGUGGUCCUGGACACUCAGGGCACCCAAAAUAGAAACCAAGACACUCUCAAUGUGGGGAAAAGUCCCUAUUGUGCAGAGUGCUCUGUCCAACCCUUCAGCCUUUGCAAGAAACUCCUGCAUCCUCUGCUAGAGCCCCAGAAGCCUCUUCCCUGAGCUUCCCAGAGCAGUUCCACUGCUGCUGAACCCUGACUGUUGGACCGCCUCUUCCUCCUGCUUGAGCCACCAAAGCUCUGCUUGCCACAGGCCCUUGGGGCCAGUCUGCUCUCCUUGGCAUGAAAACAUGAACACCCUUCAGCAGUUUAAUAGGCACUAAAGGGCAUAUUUUGCUGGAAGACUGGUCUGCAGAAGUGGCUGAGGCACCCCUAAAGGCUGGGUGCUGGUGGGGGUCAGACCAGCAGCCCUCCCUACCCUGGCACCUGGAAGUCAGGCUCAGCACACUAUGGGUAGAACAACCUGCUCUUCUUCUCAGUCAUCCUAGGGCUGGCCCAGAAGCCAAACAGUGUCUAAAUGACACAUCAGAUUUUGUACUUUAUUCCCUCCGGCUCAGACAGAAGGAAAUUGGCUUUCUUUCAUAGCUAUAUACACUAUUACGGGCUGGGAUUCAGUGUGUGAAAUAAACUAUUUUUAAUUAGUUUUUUCAAUAACUGUAAGCUGUAAUCGCACCAAGUAGAAAAGAGGUAAUACUGAGGUUUCAAGGGACACAGGUGAGUGUAUGCAGUUAUUAAUUAGCCCUGGCAAACACUGGAAAGAAGAACGGGGUCUGCACCUUUGCCUACGCCCUCAAGUGGGCACCACUGAUGGUGAAUGUAUAUCUCAACACAAAGGAACUCCGGGAAGAUUGUCCAGACACCAACACUGCCCUAAGACUGUACUCGAGUCUGCAAAGAGAUGAAAAGAAAAAAGGUUGUGCUUACUGCCUUCACCAAGCUCUCAAGGUUGGCUCUUUUUUGCUGUAAACACCCUCACACGGCUAUUGAACUCUCUACUUCCUCAUAUUUUAUGCAACUGGAUACUCUCUCCUUUGGAUUUUUAAGUAAUGUCACCUAAAGCUCUGUAACCCCAAUAUCUAUUUUUAAUUUUUAUAAUUUUAUCUUUAUGCUUAUAAACACUGGUGCAGUAAAAGCUCACAUAUCUGUAGGGGGUAAAUCUUCCAGCUCCCUCCCUGCAAACUUUGCAAAGAUGUUUCUCAGCCUAUGGCUCACUUAAUUAAUCUAACUCUUUCAAGGUCAUCCAGUGAUACUGAUGAAAUAUUCCACCGGAGGGAGAAUCAUGAAAUAUUCCACCGGAGGGAGAAUCAAAUCCCUGUCUAGCCUCCUUGCCCGCAGGAAGUUGACAGAAGAGGGAUUGACCUGAAGGAUCAAGGGGUAUGCAGUCCAAGUGGGAAUGUAACAUGCAUGAGGUGGAGGGACUGAACCUCAAUCAGAUGGAGUGAAUGCUUCAGGUCACACAGCGAAAGAGUCCUGGAUGAAAACCCAGUGCUACCAGAAGGCAGUCUCUUCUCUCCACCACACUGUACCUCCCACAGCCCUCUUUUAGAGCAAGGCCAUUUCAGGGAAGCCUUGCCAUACCCGAUCUCCACAGGCAGCUCUCACCAACUGUGCUUCAAGUGCAUGGUCAUUCCAGAGCCUGGACGGAACGGGCACUCCUGGUGCUAUGGCCUCACUGCCUACAAAGCUAAGUGCACAGGUAGGGGGACAGGGUGCUUCCUUUGCUCCUGUGGUGAUCUGGAGACACAGAUCAACCCAGUGUGAAUGGAACCAGGCAGAGCUGCCCACCAAAAUAAAAGUGUGGCCAAAACCCAGCCCUGCUUGUGGGUGAACAAAAAACAUGCCCUCCAGCCACAACUGCAUUCACAGAGCUUCCGGGGA
This 3434-nucleotide long non-coding RNA is filed under the name Homo sapiens (human). RNAcentral's name for it is "HSALNT0382516". Lineage: Eukaryota; Metazoa; Chordata; Mammalia; Primates; Hominidae. The record is from RNAcentral.